CCCUGGGCAAGUCACUUAACCCCAUUGCCUAGCAAAAAAACAAAAACAAAAACAUAUGCUUGGGGUAGACACCCCACCAAUUCACUGAAGGGUUGGAGACCCCUCAGUUACCCUUAACCUGGUUUAGCCUGUCUGCCAAAACAGUUUACUGGGUGUGGCCACUGUGUAUGUCAUAGCUUCUCAUAAUAGCUGGGAGUUGUGUGGCAGGUGGACACCAAGACGUACUAGUCUUUGCUAAAUGUUCAUACUGCCCAAGGAAGCUGAUGAGAUCACCAAGUAAAGUAGUAGUGUACAGGGAGCAAAGAAGUCCCAGGACAGAGCCCUGUGGAAUGCCUAUGGGUAGAAGACAUAAUCUGGAAGAGGAUCCAGCAAAGGAGACAAAGAAGGAGCAGUCAGAGAGGAUGAGAACCAGGAGAGAGUGGUGUCUCAAAAACUUAGAGUGAAAAGAGUAACGAGGAUCCUGAGGAAUCAGUCACAUUCAAGGACGUGGCUGUGGACUUCUCCUGGGAGGAGUGGGGGCAGCUGGCCCCUGCCCAGAAGGAGCUUUACCGGGAGGUGAUGCUGGAGAACUACCAGAACCUGGUGUGUCUGGGUGAGGAGGGGCGCCUGGGUCUUGGAAUCUCCCCCUGGGGGGGCUCUGCUUCCUCCUGCAGCUGGUCCUCUUUCAGUGUGGACUCGCUGUUAUUUUGCAUCCACACGGUGUGUCUGGGUGAGGAGGGGGCACCCCAGGUCUUGGAAUCUCCCCCUGGGGGGGCUCUGCUUCCUUGUACAGCUCAUCCUCUUUCAGUGCAGACACGUAAGAUGCCCGCUCUGAUGGGACAGAUUGUGCUUUGGGCUUCAGCCCAGGAUCCUUGAGGUUUAAACCCACUUUUCCUCCACACCCUAAAGGAGAAAGAUCCUUGCAGUAACAAGUCCCAGUGCAGACAGGUAUGAAUACAUGAGUGGUUCCUAGCCUUUUAGCAAGAUCAAAUGAAAAAUCCUUUUUCUGACCCCAAAUCCAUUCUGGUGCCCUCCCCCCUAGUACUUUCUCACGAUACAAAAUGUCCUCGAAGGGUCUGGUUUACUCCCUCCGACCCUCACCCUAGUCUUCCAGACUGCCAGGUGAUCCUCAGAGAGAGAGACAGGAGACAGGCAGGGUGAGGAUUGCAUCAUCAGUGCCCUAUGCUGAGCCCUCUCCCAUCUUCAUUGAAAAGCACUGACAGUUUCCAAAUCUGAUGUAAUCUACCAGUUAGAGCACAGGUGUGCGCCUUGGAUGCCAGACGGGGGCAGGCCCAAGCAGCAGCUAUGCAGGUGGGUGAGCCCAUUGUGUGGCACACAUAAACACAGAAUACCGCUUCUGGGGCCAGAGGACAUAAGUUCAAACAACGCCUCUAAUGAUCACUGUCUGUAACCUUGCUCAAGUUCAGGAGUUUUGUCAUAUUUAAAAUGAGGGGUUGAGGGUCUUCCAGUCAAGAUGGGUUCUUAAAUAGAAGCAGGCUGCCCAGCUCCCCCAGAUCUAUUCCAGCAAAAACCUGAAAUUUACACCAGACCAAAUAAUGAUUAAGAAAUCCACUGAGAAACUGGAGUAAAUGGCUUCUUCACACCAGAACUGCACCAAACAAACAAACAAACAAAAACCACAGAGUUACCUCAGGCAAAUCAUUUAACAGCCAUUUGCUUCAGUUCUGUCAGUUAUGAGAUGGAGAUAAUAAUAACACCUAUUUCCCAGGGCUAUUGGGAUCAACUAGGAUGAUAUUUGUAAAGUGCCUAGCACAAAGUAGGCACUAUUUAAAUGCUACAUAUCAUUAUUAUUAUUAUUAAUAUUAUUAGCAUUUUUGCUUGACUGUUUAUUUAACACAAAGGUCUUUUUUUCUUUACCAUUUUGAAAUUGGGGUUCAGGAGCACUGGGAAUGAGAGAGAGAGGAGAAGUUAACAAAAUUGAUGCCAAACAAAAAGCAAAUGAGUGCCAACUGAAACAUCUUUUAAAAUUCUCAGAAGAGAACAGAAGAAAGACGUGACAAGAAGAACACUUUUGAAAGUAAAGUUUAACCACUCGACAUAUACCCUAAGGAGGUCACUGAAAAGAAGAAAGUCCCCAUAUUACACACCCAAAUAUUUAUAGCUUUUUGUGGUAACAAAAAACUGGAAACAAAAUCAAUGCUCCAUGAUUGGAGAAUUGGAUAAACAAAUUGUGGUACAUCAGUGGAAUGGAAUAUACUGUGUGGUAAGUAAUGAUGUAUGCGAUAGAUACAGAGAAGCUUAGAAAGAACUACAGGAACUGAUGUAGAGUUAAGUAAGGAGAGCCAAGAAAA
This is a non-coding RNA of Phascolarctos cinereus (koala), 2291 nucleotides long. Lineage: Eukaryota; Metazoa; Chordata; Mammalia; Diprotodontia; Phascolarctidae. The record is from RefSeq and is a predicted model, not a curated record.